CUCUGUCAUAAGACCGCAAAGGCAGCCGACGACACAGAACUGAAUGUGCUCAACCGUGUGUCCCCAGAGGUCCAUAUACGGAUGUCAAAUUUUGAAUGACAUAGUUUGUGGAAAGAAGACAAUACCUACGAGGUACGGAACAACUGCACACCCUAGAAAGAAAGCUAUCUGCUCUUCCUUUCUAACUUAUACUCUCCCAACCCCAGCAGCUUUAUCCCCAGCCACCACCAACUCCCACCCCACCACUGUGGGGUUGCCUUUUCGAGAGCUUCUCAUAAAUGGAAUCGUACGGCGUACAAUACUGAGGUUAUGUUUCUUCUCAAGGUGUAUCAUCAACUUUGAGCUUCUCCCAAGUCAUGGUUCUGUGUGACUCCACCGUUAGCUCAGCCCUAAGAUCUCCUUCUGGCGUGAAGAGUUCAGACUCCUUCCCUUCAUAUACCCAUGUUUACAUCACUGUCUAGAAUUUUCUUAUAUUUGACACCAGAGGAAAUGAAUGUUUUAAACCCUCAAAGUCCAAUGGCCCAAAGCCCACGCUGAAAAACAAGCCAAUUUCCAUGGAUUUAAAAAAUUCCAGAUUUUCCAUUUUCAAUGCAGAUUCAUAAAAGGAAAUUCCAUCCAUUGUGAAGAUCAUCAUUCAUCAAGUUUAUUGCUCCAAACAGCCUGCCUUAGGAGACUACCUGGCUGAAGAACUUCUACGUAGUUUCAUUCUGUGCGUAGAAAUGCACACUUACUGCUUUGGCACGGAGAGUCGGUGCAAGGCAUCCCACACUGCACACACGUACACUCCUCCAAAUGAUACAAGUCAGAGACUGAUCUGUGGCUCUCUUCAAGAGGUCGUUCUUUCACCUUCAACUACAAGGAACUGGGGUAUUUUCAAAAUCAGUCAUCUUGCCAUUCUACAAAUGAACCAGAGUCUUUGUCAAAACUGGAAACCAGUCUGUAUUUCAUGCCCCCAGAGAAUACGAAAUUAUUCACACAAAGGGAUUUUUAACAUGCUGGCUUUGGCGCUAUGAUUGGCACCUUCUCCCUCACUCCUAACGCCCCCAAAUAUCUCUCACAUGUGUCACACUGUGCUUAAAGUUGGCCUGAGUGUAAUAUAGUUUUUUCAUAGUAAAAACUGUGAUCAGGUCGGUGUGUUUGUGUCUUUUAUUUGCAAUGCUGGCAGUAAUAGCUAUUUACAGUGGGCCUU
Mesocricetus auratus (golden hamster) is the source of this 1189-nucleotide long non-coding RNA. RefSeq lists it as uncharacterized. The transcript is spliced from 3 exons. Lineage: Eukaryota; Metazoa; Chordata; Mammalia; Rodentia; Cricetidae. The record is from RefSeq and is a predicted model, not a curated record.